GCCUUUUGGUUUGGAAUAACACGGGGAAACUUGUGCUAAUACCGAAUAAGCCCUUACGGGGAAAGUUUUAACGCCGAAAGAUGAGCCUGCACUUGAUUAGCUAGUUGGUAAGGUAAAGGCUUACCAAGGCAACGAUCAAUAGCUGUUCUUAGAGGAAGACCAGCCACAUUGGGACUGAGACACGGCCCAGACUCCUACGGGAGGCAGCAGUGGGGAAUCUUGCACAAUGGGGGAAACCCUGAUGCAGCGAUGCCGCGUGAGUGAAGAAGGCCCUUGGGUUGUAAAACUCUUUCGUCGGGGAAGAAAAUGACUGUACCCGAAUAAGAAGGUCCGGCUAACUUCGUGCCAGCAGCCGCGGUAAUACGAAGGGACCUAGCGUAGUUCGGAAUUACUGGGCUUAAAGAGCUCGUAGGUGGUUAAAAAAGUUGAUGGUGAAAUCCCAAGGCUCAACCUUGGAACUGCCAUCAAAACUUUUUAGCUAGAGUGUGAUAGAGGUAAGUGGAAUUUCUAGUGUAGAGGUGAAAUUCGUAGAUAUUAGAAAGAACACCAAAUGCGAAGGCAACUUACUGGGUCACUACUGACACUGAGGAGCGAAAGCAUGGGUAGCGAAGAGGAUUAGAUACCCUCGUAGUCCAUGCCGUAAACGAUGUGUGCUAGACGUUGGAAAUAUAUUUUUCAGUGUCGCAGCGAAAGCAUUAAGCACACCGCCUGGGGAGUACGACCGCAAGGUUAAAACUCAAAUGAAUUGACGGGGACCCGCACAAGCAGUGGAGCAUGUGGUUUAAUUCGAAGAUACGCGCAGAACCUUACCAACACUUGACAUGUUCGUCGCGAGACUAAGAGAUUA
Molecule: ribosomal RNA, 847 nt
Filed under: marine metagenome
Description: bacterial SSU rRNA
Rfam family: Bacterial small subunit ribosomal RNA
Source: RNAcentral